GAAACGACUGCUAAGACUGGAUAGGAAGAUAAAAGGCAUCUUUUAUCUUUUAAAAGACCUAGUAAUGGGUAUGCUUUAGGAGGGGCUUGCGCCAUAUUAGUUAGUUGGUAGGGUAAUGGCCUACCAAGACGAUGAUGUGUAGCUGGACUGAGAGGUUGAACAGCCACAUUGGGACUGAGACACGGCCCAAACUCCUACGGGAGGCAGCAGUAGGGAAUUUUCGGCAAUGGAGGAAACUCUGACCGAGCAACGCCGCGUGAAUGACGAAGUACUUCGGUAUGUAAAGUUCUUUUAUCAAGGAAGAAAAGCAAAUGGCGAACCAUUUGUUUGCCGGUACUUGAUGAAUAAGCCCCGGCUAAUUAUGUGCCAGCAGCCGCGGUAAGACAUAAGGGGCAAGUGUUAUCCGGAAUUAUUGGGCGUAAAGGGUGCGUAGGCGGUCUAGUAAGUCAGUGGUGUAAUGGCAACGCUUAACGUUGUCCGGCUAUUGAAACUGCUAAACCUGAGUUAGAUAGAGGCGAGUGGAAUUCCAUGUGUAGCGGUAAAAUGCGUAAAUAUAUGGAGGAACACCAGAGGCGUAGGCGGCUCGCUGGGUCUUAACUGACGCUGAGGCACGAAAGCGUGGGGAGCAAACAGGAUUAGAUACCCUGGUAGUCCACGCCGUAAACGAUGAGUACUAAGUGUCGGGUUAAACCGGUACUGAAGUUAACACAUUAAGUACUCCGCCUGAGUAGUACGUACGCAAGUAUGAAACUUAAAGGAAUUGACGGGACUCCGCACAAGCGGUGGAUCAUGUUGUUUAAUUCGAAGAUACCCGAAAAACCUUACCAGGUCUUGACAUGUUUUUGCAAAAUGAUAGUAAUAUCGUGGAGGUUACCAGAAACACAGGUGGUGCAUGGUUGUCGUCAACUCGUGUCGUGAGAUGUUAGGUUAAGUCCUAAAACGAGCGAAACCCUUAUCGUUAGUUGCCAGCACGUUAUGGUGGGGACUUUAACGAGACUGCCAAUGAUAAAUUGGAGGAAGGUGAGGAUCACGUCAAAUCAGCAUGCCCCUUAUGACCUGGGCUACAAACGUGAUACAAUGGCUGUUACAAAGGGUAGCUGAAACGCAAGUUCUUGGCCAAUCCCCAAAAACAGUCCCAGUCCGGAUUGAAGUCUGCAACUCGACUUCAUGAAGUUGGAAUCGCUAGUAAUCGCGAAUCAGCAUGUCGCGGUGAAUACGUUCUCGGGUUUGUACACACCGCCCGUCA
This 1246-nucleotide ribosomal RNA is filed under the name Candidatus Phytoplasma citri. RNAcentral's name for it is "bacterial SSU rRNA". It matches the Rfam family "Bacterial small subunit ribosomal RNA", at positions 153 to 1399 of the family's 1533-position model. Lineage: Bacteria; Bacillati; Mycoplasmatota; Mollicutes; Acholeplasmatales; Acholeplasmataceae. The record is from RNAcentral.